Molecule: ribosomal RNA, 376 nt
Filed under: uncultured Gammaproteobacteria bacterium
Lineage: Bacteria; Pseudomonadati; Pseudomonadota; Gammaproteobacteria
Description: bacterial SSU rRNA
Rfam family: Bacterial small subunit ribosomal RNA
Source: RNAcentral
UAAUACAGAGGGUGCAAGCGUUAAUCGGAAUUACUGGGCGUAAAGCGCGCGUAGGUGGUUUGAUAAGUUAGAUGUGAAAGCCCCGGGCUCAACCUGGGAGGGUCAUCUAAAACUGUCAGACUAGAGUAUGGUAGAGGGUAGUGGAAUUUCUAGUGUAGCGGUGAAAUGCGUAGAUAUUAGAAGGAACACCAGUGGCGAAGGCGACUGCCUGGACUGAUACUGACACUGAGGUGCGAAAGCGUGGGUAGCGAACAGGAUUAGAUACCCUGGUAGUCCACGCCGUAAACGAUGACAACUAGACGUUGGGUUCCUUGAGGACUUAGUGUCGAAGCUAACGCGUUAAGUUGUCCGCCUGGGGAGUACGGUCGCAAGAUUA